GUGCUCCCUUCAGCAGCAAAUAUACUAAAAUUUAAAUGAUACAGAGAAGAUCAGAUGGCCCCUGAGCAAGGAUGACAUGCAAAAUUUAUAAACUGCUCCAUAUCUUU
This 107-nucleotide small nuclear RNA is filed under the name Catagonus wagneri (Chacoan peccary). Lineage: Eukaryota; Metazoa; Chordata; Mammalia; Artiodactyla; Tayassuidae. The record is from RNAcentral.